Molecule: long non-coding RNA, 1215 nt
Filed under: Anas platyrhynchos platyrhynchos (common mallard)
Lineage: Eukaryota; Metazoa; Chordata; Aves; Anseriformes; Anatidae
Description: lncRNA (ENSAPLG00000022323.1)
Source: RNAcentral
CAAAUUAUGCCCUGGGCCACAACAUUUUCCUUCUUCAAUGUUGUGGCCCAUGAGAUAGCAAAGAUUUAAAGGUGAUUCUUUUCAUAUUGAGCUGUAAAGUAUGGGGGAAAAGGGAAAAAAAAAAAAAAGUGUUUUCCAGGAAUAAGGCAAUUAGAGGGAGGGUUAGUUGUCUUUUGAAGACCAAUUACUAAACACAGUUUAAACACAGUUAUUGAAAUAAGGGAUAUUACAUAGAGAGAAAGAAUUAAACCAGAAGAUGUGAAAGAACUCAUUGUCUAUUAAUACUCACAGAAUGAUUCAUAACAGGUUGCUGCUUUCAGCUUGGAGUAAGUGAUUAGCAGUUAGAUCUACUCAGUGCAAGGGUAGUUUUCGUUGUUGUUGUUUUGGAGUGGCAUAUUAAAAUGUUAAAUGUAACAAGUAAAACAAAAUCACUAGGAAUGAAAACAAAUAGUGAUCCUAACAGCCUAAUGUCUGAUAUGAAAAUAAGUACUAACAGGUACAGCCUUUUAAAAUUCUGGUAGAGAAAUGGAAAUCUACUGCUUUGCACUUAAGAAUCUGUGAAUCUGAAGCCGUUCACUAGAUCAUUUCAUACACUUCACUCAUUUUAUAUUUAAGUACAUUUCCCAUUACAAGCUUGAUUUCUAUUUCUAAAUUUCCCCACAUAGAAGCAGUCUCUUCCAAGCUUACAUGUUACAUCUUUACCAAAAAUUGAGUUUCAAGAGGAAACCAGAGAAGUCGUUCUAAAUUACAGAACAGUAUUGAGAUUAAGCCUGAGCAAGAGAUGGAGGCUCUUGGAUCAAAAUAAGAGUUGCUGAACAACAUCACAUCUGAUGGACCAUAAACUCACCAUCCUAGAGGAUAUUGAUCAAAGUAUCAGAGUCCAGAUUUGUCAAUUGUCAAUCUACUUGUAGAUGACUGAGAACAGAGCUACAUGUGAAUGCACCAGGCCAAGUCUUCUUUGGCUCCAGACAACUCAUGGUUUCUCCAAUGACUGCUCCGACCCAUUAUAUAGCACCCUGAUGUCAUUUUCAGUAGGCAGCAAUAUUACAGGUGAGUGAACUCCAAAGAGCUGUGAAGUUAUGAAAUAUUGGAUGUGUUUAAUUAUCCCUCCGUCUCUUUUCAUAUUAAUCUUUGUUGUUGUUGUUGUUAUUGUUGGUUUUUCCCUUAGGGUUUACUUUUCCCCAGAACUCUUCCAGCAAAAUUAUUACCCAGAUU